UGUCUAACUCUUCUGUGCGUGUGUCUCUUGUUUCUUUCUCUCUCUCUCCUUAGGGCGCUUGGCUGGGGCUGCUCGCUCGGGUUCUGCCUGUUGUUGCGCGAAAUGGCGGCUGGCGUCUUGCAGGGGCAGCCGCAGCUGGGCAGGGUCGGGAGCUGCCGGGGGAGGCAAAGGGAGAAAACGGGCGCCAUGAUCUCAGCGCUAGGGAAGACUCCGCGGGCAGGGCGUCCCCGAAGAGCUGGCGAAAAGAAAAGCGGGACCAGGCCUGGGCUUCUCCUUCCCGAAUAGUGCCGGGGCUGUGCUGAGAGGAGCGGGAAACGAGCGAGAGGGGAGCAACUCCUGCCUGCCUUUGUAACUGCGUCAGUACAAGAUGGCGCAGGGUGUCCCUGGAGAGGGAAGGGAGUUGCACGUCCGCCGGAGGUCAUGUGACCGCGUUGCAUUCCUGUGGGGUUUGGCUGCGGACCAAGCUGGCUUAGGCGGCGGCGGCGGCUGCCCGGGAGAGCCCGGGCUUCCCUCCCCCUCCUCCUGCACAACGUCGUCGGUCCCGCGCUGGUUCCCUUCCCCCACCAGCCUUAUGCACGAGGGUGUAGCUGCUGCCGAGGAAGGUUCUCGCUUCUCUCUUUACUCUCCACCCACCUCCAGGGUGUAGCUCCUCUUGGGGGAAGCUUUCCAUUCCGCCCCCUCUCUGCGCAAGGCUUUCUUUACCCACCGCCAGGGAAAGUUCCCCCUGGGUGCCUGCCGGCUCCGCCCGGGCGUGGGAGCCGGCUGCGCUCACGGUAGUGCCGCCCGCUCGGUGCUGCUCGAAGUUAAGUUGCAGGGGGUUAUGGAGUGGUUCUUACUGGAACAGUCGUUUUAAGCGAUGUCUAAAUGACCUCAUUAAAGCCGCUGAGGAAGACGUACAGGCCAUGCGGAGUUGUUGUGACGAGGAGGUCUUGGCUGUUCUAGUGUUCUCUGCCGGGGGUGGGGGGGCAAGGGAAGAUCUCUCAGGUGUUUAUGACUUUAUUCUGUUUGAACAGGAAAAGUGGAUCGCUGUUCUUUGUGUGCUGUUGAAUCCUAUUGCAGGAAUUGAGCAGCUGUCUGUGGAGCGACAGGCCGCAGACGGCCUGCAUCCUUAACAGGGGGAUUGAUGUAUGUACUUAGUGCAAAUGAAAAAUACGGUCUGAAAAUAUUGUGAGGACUCCCCAUGUUUUACUUUGAGGACCAUAGGCACAUGAACUCGUUGCAUAGGCCUGAAAGGUUGGCAAAUAUAUUUUCCAGGUCUUUUAAAAAAAAUUCAAUAUUUGCUGGAUGGGAAGUGAAAAAUAUAUGUUUUCCAAUCCUAACUCUUUUCUUUAAGGAAUGCAACUCCUAUUGCUGUUUAGUUGAGCUUCUCAUAUUUUCAAAGCAAUUCAUUGCUAGUUCCCAUGUCUUGUUCGUGUAUGCCACCAUGUAAAUUUAGCCACGGUAUCUAACCCAAUGAACAAAUUAACAGCUAAAAGUUGUUGAUCA
This is a long non-coding RNA of Passer montanus (Eurasian tree sparrow), 1485 nucleotides long. RefSeq lists it as uncharacterized. The transcript has 2 exons. The record is from RefSeq and is a predicted model, not a curated record. Lineage: Eukaryota; Metazoa; Chordata; Aves; Passeriformes; Passeridae.